Molecule: ribosomal RNA, 393 nt
Filed under: Hypomesus olidus
Lineage: Eukaryota; Metazoa; Chordata; Actinopteri; Osmeriformes; Osmeridae
Description: partial 12S ribosomal RNA
Rfam family: Bacterial small subunit ribosomal RNA
Source: RNAcentral
CUUUGAUAUUAACUUACCCCUAAUAUCCGCCAGGGAACUACAAGCGUUAGCUUAAAACCCAAAGGACUUGGCGGUGCCUCACACCCACCUAGAGGAGCCUGUUCUUGAAUCGAUAAUCCCCGUUCAACCUCACCACCCCUUGUUAGACCCGCCUAUAUACCGCCGUCGUCAGCUCACCCUGUGAAGGACUUAAAGUGAGCAAAAUGGGCAAAACCCAAAACGUCAGGUCAAGGUGCAGCGUAUGGGGUGGGAAGAAAUGGGCUACAUUACCUACAACAGGUCACUACGGAUGGGGCCGUGAAACCGGCCCCUAAAGGUGGAUUUAGCAGUAAGGGGGAAAUAGAGCGUUCCUCUGAAGCCGGCUCUGAGGCGCGCACACACCGCCCGUCACCC